Molecule: small nuclear RNA, 107 nt
Filed under: Erinaceus europaeus (western European hedgehog)
Lineage: Eukaryota; Metazoa; Chordata; Mammalia; Eulipotyphla; Erinaceidae
Source: RNAcentral
GUCCUAGCUUUGGAAGUGCAUAUACUGGAAUUGGCAUGAUACAGAGAAGAUUAACAUGGCCCCUGCUCAAGGAUUACACACAAAUUCAUGAAGUGUACCAUAUUUUU